GACGAACGCUGGCGGCGUGCUUAAUACAUGCAAGUCGAGCGAAGAGACGAGGACCUUGCUGGUGGGAGGUGAUGGGUGGACGGCUGAGGAAUACCUCGAUAACCUACCUAUAAGACUGGGAGAACUUCGGGAAACCGGAGCUACUACCGGAUAAUAUAUUGAAUCGCAUGGUUCAAGAGUGAAAGACGGUUUUGCUGUCACUUAUAGAUGGGUCCGCGCCGGAUUAGCUAGUUGGUAGGGUAACGGCUUACCAAGGCGGCGAUGUGUAGCCGACCUGAGAGGAUGGUGGGCGGCCCUGAAAGUGAGGAGCGGCCGAGAAUACUCCGGGAGGCAGCAGCAGGGGGUCUUCCGGCAUGGGCGAAGGAAGGACGGAGCAGCGACGCGUGAGGGGUGAAGGUCGUCGGCUCGUAGAAAUCUGCUAUUGGGAGAGAACAAGUGUGUAAGUGACUGUGCACGUCUUGACGGUAGCUAGACAGGAAGCCCCGGCUAACUACGUG
This 497-nucleotide ribosomal RNA is filed under the name uncultured bacterium. Its description in RNAcentral is "partial 16S ribosomal RNA". It matches the Rfam family "Bacterial small subunit ribosomal RNA", at positions 28 to 507 of the family's 1533-position model. The record is from RNAcentral.